Pelobates cultripes (western spadefoot toad) is the source of this 524-nucleotide non-coding RNA. Lineage: Eukaryota; Metazoa; Chordata; Amphibia; Anura; Pelobatidae. The record is from the annotation of a GenBank genome assembly.
GUGACCGUGGCGAUGUAGGUGGAAGCAGCGGUGGAGGAGGAGGAUGAGGUAGCCAACACUGUUUUUUAUAUAUAUAUUUUUUAAUUGGGGUAGCCCCAAAAUAUUGGGACAUAUAAAAAAAGACAACUCUGUUCCACAGAGUAGCUGUUGACAUUAAAGUUGCGCAGGCACUUUGUUGACUAGAGAACCUUGGGCCAAUUGCACAUCCCUGUGUCGGCGACUUUGCAUGCAGAUGUCAUCCAUAUCAGUUUCUGCACCUACCAUGGUGACCACAGGUAAUGGGGAAUCAGAGUUCCAUUCCAUUCAGGGACCCUGAGAAAUGGCUACCACAUGCAAGGAAGGCAGCAGGCACAGAAAUGAUCCACUCCCGAUGCGGGAAGGUAGUGACGACAAAUAACAAUACAGGACUCUUUAGAGGCCCUGUAAUUGUAAUGAGUCCACUUGAAAUCCUUUAACUCUGAUCAAUUGGAGGGAAGUCUGGUGCAGAGCCACUGACCUGUGCAUGCUGCAGCUGAAACUCCACU